GACGUAGGGCGCGAGCGUUGUCCGGAUUUAUUGGGCGUAAAGAGCUCGUAGGCGGCUUGUCGCGUCGUCUGUGAAAUCCCGCGGCUCAACUGCGGGCUGGCAGUCGAUACGGGCAGGCUGGAGUUCGGUAGGGGAGACUGGAAUUCCUGGUGUAGCGGUGAAAUGCGUAGAUAUCGGGAGGAACACCAGUGGCGAAGGCGACUACCUGGCCUGUUCUUGACGCUGAGGCGCGAAAGCUAGGGGAGCAAACGGG
RNAcentral lists this ribosomal RNA (253 nucleotides) under uncultured bacterium. Its description in RNAcentral is "partial 16S ribosomal RNA". It matches the Rfam family "Bacterial small subunit ribosomal RNA", at positions 524 to 776 of the family's 1533-position model. The record is from RNAcentral.